GCCCAGGUGGCGGAAUUGGCAGACGCGACGGAUUCAAAAUCCGUUUCCGAGAGGAGUGUGGGUUCGACCCCCACCCUGGGUACCA
Molecule: transfer RNA, 85 nt
Filed under: Cerasicoccus arenae
Lineage: Bacteria; Pseudomonadati; Verrucomicrobiota; Opitutia; Puniceicoccales; Cerasicoccaceae
Description: tRNA-Leu
Rfam family: tRNA
About the family: Transfer RNA (tRNA) molecules are approximately 80 nucleotides in length. Their secondary structure includes four short double-helical elements and three loops (D, anti-codon, and T loops).
Source: RNAcentral